AGGACAGCCGGAAGAUGUGUUUUGCUCUGUUGUUCUCAGUGAGGUAGAAAGCGAUUCUGUCGCUUCUCCAACCAGCUUCGACUCCGAAAAUUGUAUUUGGACUGCCCCCUGGAUCCAUGCAGGAAUUAUCUGAGCAUGGUGAAGAGGAGGGAUGUGUUCCGAUGAGUAGAGAGCAUAAGCUGCGAUGGUUCUCGUUACAAGAUCCAGGGCAUUCACAUUCAGGGCUCUAAAACUACCACGCGCAUACCUUAUACAUAUUUUUUUUACUUAACCAUAGGAACCAACCAACCCAUAAACAGCUAACCAUGUGUGAGAAUAAAUU
This 322-nucleotide unclassified non-coding RNA is filed under the name Gracilaria pacifica. The record is from RNAcentral. Lineage: Eukaryota; Rhodophyta; Florideophyceae; Gracilariales; Gracilariaceae.